CUAAGGAGCAUUCUCCACCGACACCAACACAGGUUGGACGGUAAACGUCUGGUGGCAGAGGCCAUUACGAACCCGAUCGUGGUUCGGUGGUUGCUCAUGGGAGGAACGCUGACAGCCUUCAUCGCAUCAUCUUCCGAUCCUGUGUGGUCGGGGGGCGGUGGAUAUAUCGACACACUGUUGGGUCCUGAAAGAACAGACGUUCUUUCCAGGCAAGAGAUACGAUCCGGCUGGAUCUCGGUGAUACCGGCUUCGGUUUCCUCCUUGGGGAGGGGGUCGGGGUGCUGGUCCCGGUGAAGAUUCGGUUGGUGUGUUGUUUGAGAACUGCACAGUGGACGCGAGCAUCUUUGUUUGUAAGUGUGUAAGAGCGUUC
Molecule: unclassified non-coding RNA, 370 nt
Filed under: Nocardia brevicatena
Lineage: Bacteria; Bacillati; Actinomycetota; Actinomycetes; Mycobacteriales; Nocardiaceae
Description: 16S-23S ribosomal RNA intergenic spacer
Source: RNAcentral